UACAGAGGUCUCAAGCGUUGUUCGGAUUCAUUGGGCGUACAGGGUGCGUAGGUGGCGUGGUAAGUCUGGUGUGAAAUCCCGGGGCUCAACCCCGGAACUGCACUGGAUACUGCCAUGCUUGAGUACUGGAGAGGAGAUUGGAAUUUACGGUGUAGCAGUGAAAUGCGUAGAUAUCGUAAGGAAGACCAGUGGCGAAGGCGAAUCUCUGGACAGUUACUGACACUGAGGCACGAAGGCCAGGGGAGCAAACGGG
RNAcentral lists this ribosomal RNA (253 nucleotides) under uncultured bacterium. RNAcentral's name for it is "partial 16S ribosomal RNA". It matches the Rfam family "Bacterial small subunit ribosomal RNA", at positions 524 to 776 of the family's 1533-position model. The record is from RNAcentral.